Molecule: long non-coding RNA, 2908 nt
Organism: Taeniopygia guttata (zebra finch)
Lineage: Eukaryota; Metazoa; Chordata; Aves; Passeriformes; Estrildidae
Source: Ensembl
GCUGCAAAAAGAGCAAGAAAAAAACACUAGCAAUUAGAGGAAUAUCUUAGGGAGUGCAGCACAUGUCAGUGUUGUCAGAUGUUACACCGUAGCUGUCAUAGCUUUGACUGAUGUACAAGCACUACCUGCUCAUGUUUGCCCUUCCUUUCUGUGGAGUGCACACAGGAAAUAUGAAAAGAAAUGAAAUCACAGAAAUCAAAGGUGCAAAUGUUUUUGCAGUGCUCAAGAAAAGGAGCUACAUUUCACUCAAAGGAAUGUGGUUUGGCCACAUCUCUUCAAGGAAUCAUAGAAUCUCUGUGGUUUCUAUGAACUCUAAUGUUUUCAGGAUAUCUGCUGUGAAAAUCAUGCAUCCACAAUAACCGAAGCUCUCUGGCAAUCCCUGGAGGUAAGGCCCUGAAACUUUCACUAAGACCAGCAGUGCCUUCACUGGAUCUUUCUUCUGCAACAGCACCUCAACAAGUGCUUACGUUUCACUGAAGUAAAUGCAGCAUAAGGAUAUGUUUAAUGGUGAGCACAAAAUCACAUUUAUUUGAGGAAGGAAUGAUUUUACAUAUAUGCUUAAGUGCUUUGUUGAAAUAAGGCCAGCACAGUGAAUGUAUGUAAAGAUAACAGCAUAUAGGAGAAAAUCCUCACCACACAGAAACUCAGGCAACAUUCCUAAGCCAAACAAAGCUUUACUGCAGGAUUUGAUGGUAAAAACAUAAACUGAGAAGCCAUCCUUGGCAAACCUGAGUGAGCUUUAUGCGUGUGUAUCUCUUUUGGUGUCUUUGCUGUUGUAAGCUGCUAAAUACACAUUGGUGUUCAGCUGAGUUGAAAUUUAGAGUAGCAUAUUUUGAAGGACCUUAAUAAAGAUGUCUUACUCUUUUAAAUAACCUUCUCUUAACAAUAAUGUCAAAUGCAACAUUUUAAGAUAAGACACUCAGAUAUUUCAAAAUUAAUUUUUCACACUGAAGAGGAAAUAUUAAAAGGUUUUCCUUAAGCCAUUGCUAUUACUCUCGUUAAAUGUAUUUUUUGUAAUAUUCCUAGACGAUCCUGACUAGGAAUAAUUUUAGAAUGAAACAGUGUCAUAGAAGCAAGACUAGUCAAUGAAAAAAGACCAUAGACAAUGACAUGUGUUAAAACAGGGUUUCUCCAUUAAAAAUUAGUAUAAGAGUAACUUUAUUACAUCAUUGUGCUCCCAUUGCUUAGGUAAGAAACAGUCAUGUUAAAUCUUUGUUGACGAAAUAAAAUUAUAGAAGAGCUGCACAGCUGCACAUGCAUUAUAAUGUUCUGUGAAGUAAAAUAUUUCAUAUGCAAUUUUUUUUCAUAAUGCACAAGAAAAAGUUUUAAUGGUAAACAUUUUCACUGGACUAUUUUAAUUUAGUAAUAAUUAAAUAUUAGCUGAAAGCCAAUGUUAAUAUUGGCAGGAGGAAAGUUAUUUCUGUGGAGGAGGAGCAGUCCUGCAGUCUGUCAGUAAGGUGUGUCUCAAGAUAAAGGCUAGCAAAAUUCUCCAAGAAAGGUGAUGCAACAGGUGAAAGCUGACUGUAGCAACUGAAGUCCAAUUCUUCUCAGUUUCCAAUUGAUCAGAAAGAUUGCAGGUAGAUUUCCCACCCCAUUGUAGGGCACAAAACCUUUUGUCUGGCUAUUCAGAGAGCUUUCUAUUAUUGCUGGCAUAUUGAUGUCCACUUUGAAGGCUAAGAUGAAUUUUAAUGGCAUAAAUAAUAAAAAAGGAGAGAAUUCAAGACAGGACUAACAUAAUAGACUAUUCUUUAUUUGCAAAGCUCUUACUAGAUAUGUUUUAUGGGGGACAUUUUCGCAGCAGCACAUUCAUAUCAGUUCAAGGAUAUAAUUAAUAAUAGCAAUAAUAAUCACAGUAUUGAGGCUGCUGUAGGGGAAAAUCCUGCUAAUUCUAGUGCAUGUAGCUCUCUCUGAGCCCCUUCCUGCCUCACAUAUAGGCAUAUUUCUAUUAAGAUAAGGAGAGUGUGAGCUCAGCUCUUUGUUCUAAACCAGCAGCUGCUGUGAUUAGUGUGGGUUUUGCAUAUCAACAUCAGCCUGUAUUAGAGGUAUAUUUUUUUUAUAAUUUUUUUGGUACAUGCUCAUUGGGAAUAUGCCCCUUGAUUCCUUUUCCAAGAGCAUACCAUGGCAAGGGCUGCCAGGAAUGCCACAGGCAAGGCAGCCACAGAGCUAGCAAAUUCUGAGGAGAGCUGCAUUAAGGCAAUUCUCUCCCAUUGGCAUCAAGAGCCUGGAAUUCAGAGAAGGCCAUCUAAAAUAAUCAAAGCAUUGAGAAAUGAGAUCUGUGAGCAAUGUUAAGAGAGAUAAACAUACGUGCUUUUCAGAAGAACUGGAUGAGUGGGAGGAUAGGGAACAUGAAAGCAAUUUUACAAAAAAACAGAGUGUAAAAAUAGAUAUUCUAAAAGGAAGAAAAAUCUUGAUUUAAUUAACUGUAGCUCACAACAAAGGAAGGAAGAGUCCAAAGCCUGCAGAUCUACACAGGUGGUGGUAUUAAAAGUAGAAUUUGUUCACUGCAAACAGUAUGGAAAAUAAUAAUAUAUUAUAAAACACAAAAUAAAACCAAAAAUGCACAUUACCUACAUAGACAUAAAACAAACACAGACACACAUGUAUAAGACAGAUAUAUAAAAUGUCAUAUUGUGGGUUCUCAGGAUUGCAUUUUUAUUGUGUUUGGCAUUGUACCAAAUUAAUUUCUCCAAAAAUAUUGUACUGUUUGUUUUCUCUUAUUUCUGUUUACAUAAAAAAACCCCUAUCUUGUAUUUCUUUAUUGUUACUAAAUAGUCUACAGGUUUCUUUUUCUAUUCUGUUAGAAUAGCCCACGAUAAAAAAAAGCCCUUUGAAAUUGGUCAAAACUCAUACAAUGUUUGGACAUAUGAAUACAGUAUGUGUAAUAAAAUUCAGUAAUAUUAUUAAUAUA